Long non-coding RNA from Lolium perenne, 2327 nucleotides. RefSeq lists it as uncharacterized. Lineage: Eukaryota; Viridiplantae; Streptophyta; Magnoliopsida; Poales; Poaceae. The record is from RefSeq and is a predicted model, not a curated record.
UAUCUCGAUCCCCCUCUGCUCCCUCGCGAUGUGGUCGCCGACCGCUUCUCUGGCCGAUCGCCCGCCACCUCCGGCGCCGCCGCUGAUCGGCGAGGAUCCGCCCGGCCUCCUUCUGCCAGUCUCCAACCUCCACAGCGCAUCCAGCACGCAAGAGCGUACGCACGCGUACCUGCGCGUCGCUGACGGCGUGCCGCCGCACGGUGCUGCUGGUCGCCCCCGCCAUCGUCGUUGGCUAGCAAAGCUCCGCCACCAACCUCUUCCUCAAUCACCCGCCACCACGAGGCUCGCCGCCCUCCUGCGCGCGCGGCCACGCGAAACCCUAGCAGAGACUCAUGUUCGUUGAUGCGGACGCGGUGGUCGCCGAUUCCGGCUCCCAUGCCCCCUGCUACCCAUCCUGACUACUGUGACCUCCUCCUCGACCACGAGCCACAACUCGAUUAUCCUGACGCCGACGACCAUCUCCUGGUCCCCUGCAUCGAUCUGCUCGAUGUGGUGAUGGUGGUGUGGUGCUUCUGGUCGUGUGUCGACCGCUGUCUCGACGUCGGCGGGACGGCCACUGAUGUGCAACCCCUGCGCCCGUGUACCGGUGCUGGUGUGGUGUUGGUGGUGACUACUGCAUCCUCGACGCCGGCGGAAUGGCAUCCUCUGCAACCCCGGCGUCUACUUCUCCGCUACGGCACUCUUGGCAAUUUACUUGAUGGCUUGCUGUGACAGCUUGUAUGCUUAUAGUGCCUCUGAUUGCUGCUAUGGUACUACUUGGUUGGCUUGGGAUGAUUUCCUGGACACUAAGUAGUUCCCUGUAACAUGUGGAUCAUUACUAGUGGCUUAUGGUGAUGAUUAAAGCCUAUGCAUAUAUGAUCUUGGACAGUAGUGUUGUGGGAAAACACAAAAUGAGCUUUGAGUUUCUUGUCUAUGAUCUAGUUGCAAAGUAGCAACUAGAAAUGAUUUUUCAGGGUUGAAUUUUAUUUGUGGAUCUUGUUGUCCCUUGUUGGAUAAUCUUAAGCUGAUAAGAACAGAUAUGGCUUGAUCUUCUAGCCUUGCCAAUGAUGCAAAGGCUGAGGCACAAAAUGGUAAUAAGAACAGAUACUUACAUGUGCCUCCCUAAUUUCUCGAUGAUGAUCAUGCAUAGCACUUCUAUGCACGUCUGAGAGAAAUAAUUCCUUCUAAUCCUCCUGGACUGGAUCCAGUUGCAGGGUGGUUGGAUCUAAGUGUUGAUGCCCUUGGUAGCUUGUCCUUCUGAUUUUUCAUAUAUCCAACAUGGUUACAUGCUUUCCUCUUCGAGCUCCUCCCAUUUCCAGCUGCUGAGCUCAGUGAUUAUUCUUGGUGAACUAGAGAUGGCUAAAUGAUAUGUGUUGGCGUACAGAGAAGCUGCAGAAAUGGUUUGCUCGUGUGUGCAUACUAUGGUUUGGCUAGCUGCUGUUGUUUUGCUUUUGUACUACUGAACUACUGAUUGUGGCAUCGACAUCACACAGCAAUGCAUAUGUGUGAGCUGCCGGGGUGUGGCCCCAUCUCUUGUGCAGAUUGACAAUUUGGUUUUCUCCUCUUCCUAGUGCAAGCAACGUCAGUUUGCUCUUAUCCUAGUUGGGCCUUUAUUUUUGAUACUGUCAAGUGUAUAAUACCAUGUCAAGUGUGUAAUACCAGUGGACUUUAGUUGUUUGCCAAUUGACAUGAUUACUGGUUGUUUUGAUACGUAAUUAAGAUGAUGCAUGAUUACUAGAAUAAUGAGAUGGAUUAGUGAUUUAAGUUUCUAUUGGUAAUCAAUACCAAUAGUAAACUAGUUUAAAUUCCAUAGUGACUUUUCCGAUUAGGAGCUUGUCUAGGUUUAGAGGGACUGCUCUAUUGACUUGUUAACAUAGAUAAAUGGAUCAAAUAUGAUUUGUCUUGUCCUUUCUCUGUUAUUGAUCCAAUGCUGCCAUUUACCCAUAUUGCCUACUUGCUGAUUAUGAUCCGAGAUGAUCCAGUUGUCCCUUUUAUGAUCCAAAGAUGGUUCUCUCGAUCCAAUGUUGCCUUUAGAUUCAGAUUGAUCCCUCUAGCCACCAAUUGGGUAUUAGAACAAGUUUCUAAUGUCUAAUAGUUAAGCUCCAACACAUUAAAAUGCCUCAUCAUUGAUGAUGGCAACAUUUUAACAUUAACAAACUAUUUUCUUGCCUUUGUUGUGUCUUUUGCAGGGAAAGAAGAACAAGAAGAUUGGAAGAUUGAGAUUUAGGACUUCUUUUAUUUUCUUUUUGUAAUCUUUCUCUAUUUCUAUUUAUUUGAAAAAUUGUAAAUAAUUGGACAAUGUUAUUUAUAUUAAAGUUUAAAUUAUUUAUUCAUUUGGAAUUAUUAAA